RNAcentral lists this ribosomal RNA (253 nucleotides) under uncultured bacterium. RNAcentral describes it as "partial 16S ribosomal RNA". It matches the Rfam family "Bacterial small subunit ribosomal RNA", at positions 524 to 776 of the family's 1533-position model. The record is from RNAcentral.
UACGUAGGGGGCAAGCGUUGUCCGGAUUUAUUGGGCGUAAUGAGCGUGUAGGCGGCUGGGUAGGUCCGUUGUGAAAACUCGAGGCUCAACCUCGAGACGCCGAUGGAAACCCCCCAGCUAGAGUCCGGAAGAGGAGAGUGGAAUUCCUGGUGUAGCGGUGAAAUGCGCAGAUAUCAGGAAGAACACCCGUGGCUAAGGCGGCUCUCUAGUACGGUACUGACGCUGAGACGCGAAAGCGUGGGGAGCGAACAGG